CUUUGGCUGAUAAGAAAAAGAAAGACGUGUAAAGAUACUCUCCAUGUGUUUAAAGAUGCCAGAACCAACUGAUGCGAUGAUAACCACGCCAUUUUACCAGCAACAGCAGUAUGAAGUAUCCAAGUUCCUGAAGAUCAAGCCGUUGGUUUUGGGGAUUUUGGAAAUAUUGAUAGCCUUAUUGGGACUCGGUUUGACUAUCUGGAAUGAGAGUUUUUUCGUUAUCUGGUCACCAAUCAUUUUCAUCAUAAUUGGAGCUAUAACAGUCUCGGCUGCACACACACGUACACCGCGUCUGGUCAAAACCUCUCAAAUGCUCAGCUAUGCAAAUUUUGCAGUAGUUGUUUUCUCCCUCCGCGCUCACUUUAUUUACAUUCGGGUUACUCCAGAUGUGUCCUUCUAUGUCCUUUUCAUCUGUGAUAUUCUGAUCUUCAUCUUCUCUCUUGCUGUUGCUGUAACCUCCUGUUCCUGUUGCUGCGGACCAAAGUCAACCCCUGUCAUGGUCAGUUAUGUGACCACAGAUAUGCCUGUCAACCACAUCAUGCAGAUGGGCCAGCCGGACCCCUCUGCAGAGGCCCAGCCUAUUAGUUCAGUCAUGUACGUGCUGCCAGCAGCACACGGCUCAGUCCCACCUGCGACUCUGCCAAAUUACGGUCACGUCCCCAAUGCAUCUCCACCAAUGUACAGUCCAGUACCAACUACACCUCCAUCCAACUACGACAAAGUCUCUGAUGCACUUCCACCAAAGUACUGUCCAGUCCCAACUGCUUCUCCACCAGCAUAUGAGAUGGACCUACUAGAUGAAAGUGAAAACGAAAACAGAUCCAAGAGCAACACCAACAUCAGAUGCCAAAACCCACUGAUGUGAUGCUAACCGUGCCAGUAUACCAGCAACAGCAGUAUGGCGUCUCCAGGUUCCUGAAGAUCAAGCCACUGGCUUUGGGGAUUUUGGAACUAUUGCUAGCCUUAUUGGGACUCUGUUUGACAAUCUGGAAUGUUCAUUUUUCUCUUCUCUGGUCACCAAUCAGCGUAAGUCGAUCAUUUUAAUAUCAAAACAAUAUUAUACAAUGAACAAAUACUGAAUUCUGUUCCAUUUCUGUUCUGCAGUUCAUUUUAACUGGAGUAUUAACAGUCUCGGCAGCAAGCACGUGUAAACCAUGUCUGGUUAGUGUCAGUUUAAAAAAAAAAACGGUAAUAUUUUUGCUUAAGGGGAACUUUAUGGGUUUUAUUUUAAAACAGAUCUUUUGUACUAUAGGUCAAAUCCUCACAAAUGCUCAGUUAUGUCAAUGCGGCAGCAGCUGCUCUGUCUCUCCACUUUCAUUUUUAUUACACUUGGGGUGUGACCUGCUUUCUCCUGAUGGCCUGUGAUACUCUCAUCCUCAUCUUCUCUGUCACUGUUGCUUUAACCUCCUGUUCCUGUUGCUGCAGACCAAAGUCAAGACAUGUCGAGAUCAGUUAUAUGAACGCAGAUUUGCCCGUCAACCAUAUUGUGCUCAUGGGCCAGCCGGACCCCUCUGCAGUGCUACAGUCCGUUAGUUCAGUCAUGUAUGUGCUGCCAGCAGUCCCACCUGCGCCUCUGCCAAAUUACAGUCCAGUACCAACUACACCUCCACCAGCCUACGACCAGGUCUCAGCUGCACCUCCACCAAACUACGGUCCAGUCCCGAGUGCUCCUCCACCAGCAUAUGCGGUAAUUAUGAGAAUUUCUGAGUAACGGUAGGAAAUCUAUUUGUAACUUUUAAUGGUUCUUACAAAUUAAAAUCCUAUAAAUAAUCUCCAUCUUCAAUCAUAAUAUACAAUUAUCGUUGUACUGCACAGCUCUGAUACACUGUGUUUUGUUAUUGCAGUAUGAAGAUUUACAGACCAGAAGAUGAACCGGAUCUCAGUUGGUGUUUACACGUUGGAUUAUGGC
This is a long non-coding RNA of Sinocyclocheilus grahami, 1909 nucleotides long. Ensembl lists it as uncharacterized. The record is from Ensembl. NCBI's taxonomy places the organism in Eukaryota, Metazoa, Chordata, Actinopteri, Cypriniformes, Cyprinidae.